AAACCAGCACCUCAAGUGGUCAGGAGGAUUAUUGGGCCUAAAGCAUCCGUAGCUUGCUGCAUAAGUUUUCGGUUAAAUCCAUACGCUCAACGUAUGGGCUGCCGGGAAUACUGUGCAGCUAGGAAGUGGGAGAGGUAGACGGUACUCGGUAGGAAGGGGUAAAAUCCUUUGAUCUAUUGAUGACCACCUGUGGCGAAGGCGGUCUACCAGAACACGUUCGACGGUGAGGGAUGAAAGCUGGGGGAGCAAACCGGAUUAGAAACCCCAGUAGUCC
RNAcentral lists this ribosomal RNA (274 nucleotides) under uncultured bacterium. RNAcentral's name for it is "partial 16S ribosomal RNA". It matches the Rfam family "Archaeal small subunit ribosomal RNA", at positions 473 to 747 of the family's 1478-position model. The record is from RNAcentral.